Molecule: long non-coding RNA, 419 nt
Filed under: Canis lupus dingo (dingo)
Lineage: Eukaryota; Metazoa; Chordata; Mammalia; Carnivora; Canidae
Description: lncRNA (ENSCAFG00020026377.1)
Source: RNAcentral
AUGAGGGCAGCAUGAGCGGCCUCAAAUGUGCCUUUGGGAGUAGUUAGCCUUUCGCUCUUGAUGAGGAGAAGACGUCGGCCAUCCGCUUGAAGGGCCAAGCUCCAGCGACCCAGGAGCCGUGGAUCUUCUGACUUCCGAGAGCAGCGGAGCACGAGUGGAGCAGAGGGUGUGUGUGCACCACGACACGUUGGAAGGAAGGCUGAUGUAGAGAAAUAACAACACGAUUCAGGAUCAUCAUUGAGAUUUUGGAGGAUUGAACAAAAGCAUCUGGUCGGGAACGUCGUUAUGAAGGAAGAGACAAGACCCUGCCUGAGGAGGCACAUAUGAGAAUAACAGAAAGGAGCCUGUGGAUAAAUACAGAAGAGCAGCUGAGGAGGUAGGUAGCAGCCAGAGCUGCGGCUGGACCUGGCAUGGCUCCU